Molecule: ribosomal RNA, 1444 nt
Filed under: uncultured Bordetella sp.
Lineage: Bacteria; Pseudomonadati; Pseudomonadota; Betaproteobacteria; Burkholderiales; Alcaligenaceae
Description: partial 16S-23S ribosomal RNA intergenic spacer
Rfam family: Bacterial small subunit ribosomal RNA
Source: RNAcentral
GGUUCGAUCAUGGCCUGUGGGGAUUGAACGCUGGCGGGAUGCUUGGCUACAUGUCGAACGGCAGCACGGACUUCGGUCUGGUGGCGAGGGCGAACGGGUGAGUAAUUUAUCGGAACGUGCCUAGUAGCGGGGAUAAUUACGCGAAAGGUAGCUGAUAUCGCGGCUACUGGGAAAGCGGGGACCUUCGCCUGCACUAUUAGAGCGGCCGAUAUCGGAUUAGCUGGUUGUGGUAACGGCUCACCAAGGCGACGAUCCGUAGCUGGUUUGAGAGGACGACUUCCAGCCACUGACUGAGAUUAAUGGCCCAGACUCCUACGGGAGGCAGCAGUGGGGAAUUCUUGGACAAUGGGGAAAACCCUGAUUCAGCCAUCCGCGCGGCGAUGAAGGCCUUUCGGGUUGUAAAGCACUUUUGGCAGGAAAGAAACGGCACGGGAUAAUACCCGUGCAACUGACGGUACCUGCAGAAUAAGGCACCGCUAAUCAUGUGCCAGCAGCCGCGGUAAUACGUAGGGUGAAGUGUUAAUCGGAAUUACUGGGCGUAAAAAGCGCGCAGGCGCUCAAAAGAUGUGAAAUCCCAGAGCUUAACUUUUGGAACUGCAUUUUUAAUUCACUGAGCCAGGAGGUGCCGAGGGAGGGAAUUCCGCGUGUGGGCAGGAAAUGCGCAGAUAUGGAACACCGAUGGCGAAGGCAGCCUCCUGGGAUAACACCGACGCUCAUGCACGAAAGCGUGGGGAGCAAACAGGAUUAGAUACCCUGUAGUCCACGCCCUAAACGAUGUCAACUAGCUGUUGGGGCCUUUCGCCUUGGUAUAGCUAAUAUGCGUGAAGUUGACCGCCUGGGGAGUACGGUCGCAAGAUUAAAACUCAAAGGAAUUGACGGGGAUUCCGCCAAGCGGUGGAUGAUGUGGAUUAAUUCGAUGCAACGCGAAAAACCUUACCUACCCUUGAUAUGUCUAAACCCUGAAGAGAUUUGGAGUGCUCGCAAGAGAACCGGAACAUGGUGCUGCAUGGCUGUCGUCAGCUCGUGUCGUGAGAGCGGGUUAAGUCCCGCAACGAGCGCAACCCUUAUCAUUAAGCGAUGAAAGGGCACUCUAUCGAGACUGCCGGUGACAAACCGGAGGGAAGGUGGGGAUGAUGUCGCGUCCUCAUGGCUCUUAUGGGUAGGGCUUCACACGUCAUACAAUGGUCGGGACAGAGGGUCGCCAACCCGCGAGGGAGCCAAUCCCAGAAACCCGAUCGUAGUCCGAUCGGUCUGCAACUGACUGCGUGAAGUCGGAAUCGCCAGCAAUCGCGGAUCAGCAUGUCGCGGUGAAUACGUUCCCGGGUCUUGUACACACUGCCCGUCACACCAUGGGAGUGGCUUUACCAGAAGUAGUUAGCCUAACCGGGAGGAGGGCGAUUACCACGGCAGGAUUCAUGACUGGGGUGAAGUCGUAACAAGGUAG